Molecule: ribosomal RNA, 312 nt
Filed under: uncultured bacterium
Lineage: Bacteria
Description: bacterial SSU rRNA
Rfam family: Bacterial small subunit ribosomal RNA
Source: RNAcentral
AUUGAACGCUAGCGACAGGCUUAACACAUGCAAGUCGAGGGGCAGCGGGGAGUAGCAAUACUCUGCCGGCGACCGGCGCACGGGUGAGUAACGCGUAUGCAACUUACCUAUCAGAGGAGAAUAGCUCAUCGAAAGAUGAAUUAAUGCUCCAUAAAACAGGGGUCCCGCAUGGGAAUAUUUGUUAAAGAUUUAUCGCUGAUAGAUAGGCAUGCGUUCCAUUAGGCAGUUGGCGGGGUAACGGCCCACCAAACCGACGAUGGAUAGGGGUUCUGAGAGGAAGGUCCCCCACAUUGGUACUGAGACACGGACCAA